Molecule: non-coding RNA, 76 nt
Filed under: Halothiobacillus neapolitanus
Lineage: Bacteria; Pseudomonadati; Pseudomonadota; Gammaproteobacteria; Chromatiales; Halothiobacillaceae
Also listed under: 1 other name
Description: SAH sequence
Rfam family: SAH (S-adenosyl-L-homocysteine) riboswitch aptamer
Source: RNAcentral
UUCCUCAAGGAGCGCUGCAACCCCAUCCGGGGUGAGGCUUGAGGGGUUGGCUUUCAUUCAACGGCGCUCUGAAACC